This 277-nucleotide unclassified non-coding RNA is filed under the name uncultured Microascaceae. RNAcentral describes it as "sequence contains ITS2". The record is from RNAcentral. Lineage: Eukaryota; Fungi; Ascomycota; Sordariomycetes; Microascales.
AACGCACAUUGCGCCCGGUAGUAAUCUGCCGGGCAUGCCUGUCCGAGCGUCAUUUCUCCCCUCGAGCGCGGCUUCACGGCCUGUCGCUCGGUGUUGGGGCGCUACGGUGGGAGCCCCGCGCUCCCCCGUAGGCCCCGAAAUGUAGUGGCGGUCCCGCCGCGGCGCCCCCUGCGUAGUAGUCUUACAACUCGCAUCGGGACCCGGCGGAGGCCAGCCGUCAAACCCCCAACUUCAAUAGUUUGACCUCGGAUCAGGUAGGGUUACCCGCUGAACUUAA